This 618-nucleotide ribosomal RNA is filed under the name Staphylococcus aureus. RNAcentral describes it as "partial 23S ribosomal RNA". It matches the Rfam family "Bacterial large subunit ribosomal RNA", at positions 2285 to 2904 of the family's 2925-position model. Lineage: Bacteria; Bacillati; Bacillota; Bacilli; Caryophanales; Staphylococcaceae. The record is from RNAcentral.
GCCUCCUAAAAGGUAACGGAGGCGCUCAAAGGUUCCCUCAGAAUGGUUGGAAAUCAUUCAUAGAGUGUAAAGGCAUAAGGGAGCUUGACUGCGAGACCUACAAGUCGAGCAGGGUCGAAAGACGGACUUAGUGAUCCGGUGGUUCCGCAUGGAAGGGCCAUCGCUCAACGGAUAAAAGCUACCCCGGGGAUAACAGGCUUAUCUCCCCCAAGAGUUCACAUCGACGGGGAGGUUUGGCACCUCGAUGUCGGCUCAUCGCAUCCUGGGGCUGUAGUCGGUCCCAAGGGUUGGGCUGUUCGCCCAUUAAAGCGGUACGCGAGCUGGGUUCAGAACGUCGUGAGACAGUUCGGUCCCUAUCCGUCGUGGGCGUAGGAAAUUUGAGAGGAGCUGUCCUUAGUACGAGAGGACCGGGAUGGACAUACCUCUGGUGUACCAGUUGUCGUGCCAACGGCAUAGCUGGGUAGCUAUGUGUGGACGGGAUAAGUGCUGAAAGCAUCUAAGCAUGAAGCCCCCCUCAAGAUGAGAUUUCCCAACUUCGGUUAUAAGAUCCCUCAAAGAUGAUGAGGUUAAUAGGUUCGAGGUGGAAGCAUGGUGACAUGUGGAGCUGACGAAUACUAA